RNAcentral lists this long non-coding RNA (702 nucleotides) under Homo sapiens (human). RNAcentral describes it as "non-protein coding lnc-HMG20A-2:1". The record is from RNAcentral. Lineage: Eukaryota; Metazoa; Chordata; Mammalia; Primates; Hominidae.
AGAAAGAAGCCUUUCCGCCUUCCUACUCUGUAACCCUGCUUUUCGUUUCCUGUGUGUCCUUUCAGAGCUCCUUUUGCUUUCAAAAGCAAAUACAAAUACGGGCAGCUUCUGAAUGGAUGGCCAAGUGACUCUGGAGCUUCCGCGCUGUGUGAGGGCUGGGCUUUCUGUCCCUGUUCACCCUCGAACCCAGGCUUCAGCCACCGCACGGGAGAAGAUGGUUCAGACCACACCUCUACCCUGACUCAGCACACACAGCUGUACCGUCAGGGGCUGCAAACCAACAUCUCUCAGGGCCUUCCUGGAAGCUGCGGCUGGACUCCCCUUGUACUCCAGGGGAGCAUCCCUGGAGGCCCAGGUCGGGGCUCCUGGAGGGUCCCUGGGUUCUGGGGGACAGAAGAACAGGGAGGAAGAAUCCAGAUGUGGCUCACUGGGCUCUGUGGAUCUGGCACUGGAACAGCUGUCCAGGCUUUGGGGCCCCCGACACCCCUGCUGCUCUCCCUCAGGCCCCAGAUCUGCUUGGGCCCCCAGUGGGCAACCGCUCGGUGCUGGCCCACCACAGGGAAAUAUUCCGGUGGAGGUAAGCUCUGUCCUGUUCUCAGAGAGCCCUGGCCAGGCCUGGUAGAUAAAUUCCAGGCCAAGCCAUAGGAUUUGGACACUGGGGCUACAGGAAUUCAAGAAAGAAGAAUAAAGAAGCAGCCUUGA